GGCCCGUAAUCCGGGUUGCGGACAGUGUCUGGUGGGUAGUUUGACUGGGGCGGUCUCCUCCUAAAGAGUAACGGAGGAGCACGAAGGUUGGCUAAUCCUGGUCGGACAUCAGGAGGUUAGUGCAAUGGCAUAAGCCAGCUUGACUGCGAGCGUGACGGCGCGAGCAGGUGCGAAAGCAGGUCAUAGUGAUCCGGUGGUUCUGAAUGGAAGGGCCAUCGCUCAACGGAUAAAAGGUACUCCGGGGAUAACAGGCUGAUACCGCCCAAGAGUUCAUAUCGACGGCGGUGUUUGGCACCUCGAUGUCGGCUCAUCACAUCCUGGGGCUGAAGUAGGUCCCAAGGGUAUGGCUGUUCGCCAUUUAAAGUGGUACGCGAGCUGGGUUUAGAACGUCGUGAGACAGUUCGGUCCCUAUCUGCCGUGG
RNAcentral lists this ribosomal RNA (421 nucleotides) under Escherichia coli. RNAcentral's name for it is "partial 23S ribosomal RNA". It matches the Rfam family "Bacterial large subunit ribosomal RNA", at positions 2230 to 2650 of the family's 2925-position model. Lineage: Bacteria; Pseudomonadati; Pseudomonadota; Gammaproteobacteria; Enterobacterales; Enterobacteriaceae. The record is from RNAcentral.